Molecule: long non-coding RNA, 230 nt
Filed under: Setaria viridis
Lineage: Eukaryota; Viridiplantae; Streptophyta; Magnoliopsida; Poales; Poaceae
Description: long non-coding RNA (SVIR_LNC010213)
Source: RNAcentral
CGGUACAUGAUCUAUUAACAUUUGGUGGCCGAUGCCAUCUUAUCACGAGCAGUAACUGAUAUUUUCCUGCCAGACAAGACAAUUGAACAUUUAUAGAUUGAGAUUUUAGAUGAACAAGCUGGCGCAAGACAUUGACAUGAUAUCGAAAACCAGGAUGUCAUCAGUCCAAGAUUUAGCAUGAGCAAAAGAUUUUAUACAAAGAGGGUGACAGGGAUACUCACAACCCAACC